GGAUUAGAUACCCUGGUAGUCCUAGCUGUAAACGAUGAGCACUAGGUUGGGGGCUCCUCCAUAGGUUUCCGACCGAAGCGAAAGUGUUAAGUGCUCCGCCUGGGGAGUAUGGUCGCAGGGCUGAAACUCAAAGGAAUUGACGGGGGCUCACACAAGCGGUGGAGGAUGUGGCUUAAUUCGAGGAUACGCGAAGAACCUUAUCCUGGUCUUGACAUGUACGGAUGGGCUGCCUGAAAGGGAUAGUCCCUGCCUUCGGGUGAAACGUACACAGGUGCUGCAUGGCCGUCGUCAGCUCGUGCCG
RNAcentral lists this ribosomal RNA (301 nucleotides) under uncultured bacterium. Its description in RNAcentral is "bacterial SSU rRNA". It matches the Rfam family "Bacterial small subunit ribosomal RNA", at positions 775 to 1067 of the family's 1533-position model. The record is from RNAcentral.